Molecule: unclassified non-coding RNA, 357 nt
Filed under: uncultured fungus
Lineage: Eukaryota; Fungi
Description: partial contains small subunit ribosomal RNA, internal transcribed spacer 1, and 5.8S ribosomal RNA
Rfam family: Eukaryotic small subunit ribosomal RNA (bases 1-73)
Source: RNAcentral
GCAAACUUGGUCAUUUAGAGGAAGUAAAAGUCGUAACAAGGUUUCCGUAGGUGAACCUGCGGAAGGAUCAUUAUUGAAUGUUGCCUUGAUAGGUUGUUGCUGGUCCACUGGGGCAUUGUGCACGCCUGUCUUGACUUCAAUUCAUCCAUCUGUGCACCUUUUGUAGUCUUUUCAGGGGGCUGGGGGAAACAGCAGCUCAGGCUGUUGCUUGAACCUCCCACUGGAGGCUAUGUUCUUUUAUACACACCAUUAGAAUGAUACAGAAUGUUGUCAAUGGGGCACUUUUGUGGCCUAUAUAAAAUUUAUACAACUUUCAGCAACGGAUCUCUUGGCUCUCGCAUCGAUGAAGAACGCAGC